Molecule: ribosomal RNA, 973 nt
Filed under: human gut metagenome
Description: bacterial LSU rRNA
Rfam family: Bacterial large subunit ribosomal RNA
Source: RNAcentral
UAAGGUAGCGAAAUUCCUUGUCGGGUAAAUUCCGACCCGCACGAAAGGUGUAAUGAUCUGGGAACUGUCUCGGCCAUAGACUCGGUGAAAUCUUAAUACCUGUGAAAAUGCAGGUUACCCGCAACAGGACGGAAAGACCCCGUGGAGCUUUACUGUAGCUUGAUAUUGAGCUUCGGUAUGUUAUGUAGAGGAUAGGUGGGAGACGUUGAUACUAUGGCGCCAGCUAUAGAGUAGUCAUCCUUGGAAUACCACCCUUAACAUAUUGGAGUUCUAACCUAGACCCAUUAUCUGGGCCAGGGACAGUGUCUGGUGGGCAGUUUGACUGGGGCGGUCGCCUCCCAAAAAGUAACGGAGGCGCUCAAAGGUUCCCUCAGAAUGGUUGGAAAUCAUUCGAAGAGUGUAAUGGUAUAAGGGAGCUUAACUGCGAGACCAACAAGUCGAGCAGGUGCGAAAGCAGGACAUAGUGAUCAGGCGAUUCAGUAUGGAAUGGUCGUCGCUUAACGGAUAAAAGUUACCCCGGGGAUAACAGGCUGAUACCACCCAAUAGUUCAUAUAGACGGUGGUGUUUGGCACCUCGAUGUCGGCUCGUCACAUCCUGGAGGUGGAUUCGCUUCCAAGGGUUGGGCUGUUCGCCCAUUAAAGUGGCACGCGAGCUGGGUUCAGAACGUCGUGAGACAGUUCGGUCCCUAUCCGUUGUGGGCGUUGGAAAAUUGAGAAGAUCUGUCCUUAGUACGAGAGGACCGGGAUGGACUUACCUCUGGUGUAUCUGUUGUAGCGCCAGCUGCAGUGCAGAGUAGCUAUGUAGGGAAUGGAUAACCGCUGAAAGCAUCUAAGUGGGAAGCCAACUUCAAGAUGAAUUUUCCUGUUUUUUAAAAACUAAGAUCCCAGAAAGACUAUCUGGUUGAUAGGCUAGACGUGGAAGCAUAGUGAUAUGUUGAGCUGACUAGUACUAAUAGAUCGAGAGUUUAACCCU